Molecule: ribosomal RNA, 1345 nt
Filed under: uncultured bacterium
Lineage: Bacteria
Description: bacterial SSU rRNA
Rfam family: Bacterial small subunit ribosomal RNA
Source: RNAcentral
CGGACAACGCUGGCGGCGUGCUUAACACAUGCAAGUCGAACGGUACCCCUUCGGGGGUAUAGUGGCGGACGGGUGAGUAACACGUAGACGACCUGCCCUUUGGUGGGGAAUAACAUCUCGAAAGAGAUGCUAAUACCGCAUAAGUUCUAUGUUGUAGGACACAGAAGAAACCUUGCUCGCAAGAGGAGGGGCCGAAGGAGGGGUCUGCGGCGGAUUAGCUAGUUGGUGAGGUAACGGCCCACCAAGGCGACGAUCCGUAGCUGGUCUGAGAGGACGAUCAGCCACACUGGGACUGAGACACGGCCCAGACUCCUACGGGAGGCAGCAGUGAGGAAUAUUCCACAAUGGGCGAAAGCCUGAUGGAGCGACGCCGCGUGAGGGAAGAAGCCUUUCGGGGUGUAAACCUCUUUUAUCUCGGAUGACACGCACUCGUAGCGAUACGGGAGCUAAGACAGUACGAGAUGAAUAAGCCUCGGCUAACUACGUGCCAGCAGCCGCGGUAAUACGUAGGAGGCGAGCGUUGUCCGGAUUUAUUGGGCGUAAAGAGCGCGCAGGCGGCACAUCAAGUACGCAGUGAAAUCUCCCUGCUCAACGGGGCGGGCGCAGCGUANACUGGUGAGCUAGAGGACGGUAGAGGGGGGUAGAAUUGCUGGUGUAGCGGUGAAAUGCGUAGAGAUCAGCAGGAAUACCCGUGGCGAAGGCGGCCCCCUGGGCCGAACCUGACGCUGAGGCGCGAAGGCUAGGGGAGCGAACGGGAUUAGAUACCCCGGUAGUCCUAGCAGUAAACGAUGGCCACUAGGUGUGGGGGGUGUUGACCCCUUCCGUGCCGAAGCUAACGCAUUAAGUGGCCCGCCUGGGGAGUACGGUCGCAAGACUAAAACUCAAAGGAAUUGACGGGGGCCCGCACAAGCGGCGGAGCGUGUGGUUUAAUUCGAUGCAACGCGAAGAACCUUACCAGGGCUUGACAUGCUAGUGGUACGGAUCAGAAACGUGAAGGACCCUUCGGGGAGCUAGUACAGGUGCUGCAUGGCUGUCGUCAGCUCGUGCCGUGAGGUGUUGGGUUAAGUCCCGCAACGAGCGCAACCCUCGCCGUUAGUUAUAUUUCUCUAACGGGACCGCUGGGAUAAACCCAGAGGAAGGUGGGGAUGACGUCAAGUCAGCAUGGCCCUUACGUCCUGGGCUACACACACGCUACAAUGGCCGGUACAAUGGGCUGCCAAGGCGCGAGCCGGAGCUAAUCCCCCAAAACCGGCCCCAGUUCAGAUUGCAGGCUGCAACUCGCCUGCAUGAAGGCGGAGUCGCUAGUAACCGCAGGUCAGCUACACUGCGGUGAAUACGUUCCCGG